RNAcentral lists this long non-coding RNA (1404 nucleotides) under Salvator merianae (Argentine black and white tegu). RNAcentral's name for it is "lncRNA (ENSSMRG00000000215.1)". The record is from RNAcentral. Lineage: Eukaryota; Metazoa; Chordata; Lepidosauria; Squamata; Teiidae.
GCUUGUAAAACAUGUGAUUAAUAUGAAUUAAUGCUAACACAGCAGUUGCCUUUUCGCGUUCAAACCACGUCGCAUGCAUCGGCUUAGCGCAGGUGUUCUGCUGAGGUGCUCAGUGUUUUAGAUUCACACGAGAAAGCCGUCCUUUCUGGGGCUUGGUGGUGAUCCAUCUUCCCUAUACUGCUCUGGGUGAGUCUUUCUCCAGUUUAUCUAACCCAAGUGGCGCUUCCCUCCUCCCUUCCCGCUCCCCGCCCGACUUGAAGCGGACAACGCACGGGCAGGAACUGGAAUUCUGCAGCUUAUCUGAAACUAAUUGCUACCAUUAAGCUUAGAGCUUCGGACAUUUCCCUACCUCUGCGUCGCCGCGUUCGCUCUUUGGCUCUUUUCCCGCCCACUCCCGCCCUUGCAUUUGGUGUUCAGAGUGGUUGGCCGACAAUGGCAAGAUCUUUUUUCCUUCUACAAAACCGACCCUUGGACGAGGUGCGGAAGAAACGCGAAGCGUGCCCAUCGCGCCUGAAGGUUGCCAGGCGACAGGCUGCUCUCUCUCUCUCUCUCAAUCUUUGCUUCUCCUGGUGCAUAGGGUGGUUUGCUUUACACCGCAAGAAAGGCAGUAUCCGAUUCAGCUGAAAUUCUUUAAGAUAAGCGCGCACGGAGAGGCCCAAAAUACCUUUUUAAGGGCUGGAAAGGCGGGGGCAGAUUCAGCUCCUCAAACCUCCUACUCGCCUCGUUCUAGAAAUCAACGCAGUAUGAUAAUGCGAAUGAUUAUAUGAAUUGCAGUGGAUUUAAUGGAGUUCACUUUGUUUUGUUUUGCAUUUGGUAAAAACGUGAAUGCGCCGAGCUGAGAAGAGGAAGCGGCAAGCCAGACUGAUAAACUUUCUACUGUCACGUUACGGGGUGCAUUUGUAUAUCCGUGAAGGAUUCUACCCAAAUGUUGCAGCAUUGAUUCUAAGACAGACCUCUGAAUGGAAUUACCCUUCUCUGCGUUAACGUGCCUAGAUGCAAAAUACAGGUGGCUGCCAUCAGGUCUGGAUCAAGAUGCUGAUGAUACCUGGUAAUACACCUUGGAACCUUGUCCCAAGACAGAAUAUCUCAGGAAAGAAAUUGAACCUCCCCCCGCCCCCCCCAAUCCCAGNUCAGUGCCACUGUGUGGAGAAGGAUGGCAACAAAUGCAGAAGCCAGGAUGGCUUUGUCACUGGUGGAAGACCAGGUGGACUGAAGACAUGCAGAACACUUGUGGGGCGUGUAGAACACACUGAGACAAAUCACAAUAGCAGUCUGAGAGGAGCUGCCAAAGCCAUCUUGCCUUGUCUCAGACAUCAUGAGUGAAGUUUGCUGUUGAAGAUGCAGAUGAGAGACCUUCUCCUUUUAUUUCUCAAUAAACCUUCUCUAUUUUUUCCCUUGUGGACA